RNAcentral lists this long non-coding RNA (25631 nucleotides) under Capsella rubella. RNAcentral's name for it is "long non-coding RNA (CRUB_LNC000871)". Lineage: Eukaryota; Viridiplantae; Streptophyta; Magnoliopsida; Brassicales; Brassicaceae. The record is from RNAcentral.
UUCAUACCAAGAGUUUUAUCAGAGCAAUGAACAUAAGGUGUGACAAAAAGAAUAGUGAGAAGAAAUAAGACAAGAAAGUUUUUGGUGAGAGCCAUGAUAACUUUGUAAGAGAGUUUUGUUUUUGUUUUGUUUAUAAGUUUUUGGUGAGAGCCAAUGGCAGAUAUAUAUACAUAGAAAUAGCCAGCUAAGAAUCUUAACUUGCAUGUUCAAAACCAAAAAUAAUAAAGACACAAGAUAUUAUAUGAACAAAUAUGUAAACAGAUCAGGGAGACAAUAAUAUCUCCCAAAUCUCAAUACUUUUUUUAAUUACAUAAAAAUAUGUAAAGAAGAAAAGAAACACAAUUAUGUAAUCAUCAAGGUACCUAUCCCAAUUAUGUAAACAAUUAUUGAGGAAACACAAUCAUGUAAACAAAUCAAGAUAGCCCAAUACUCUCUGUAUAUAUUUUUUGGUCUAUGGUAUCCCAAUAAGCCAGAGAAAAAUAUUGAGGAAAAUAAAGAAAGCAUAUUUUUGGUAAUAGAUGAAAAAUAAAAGAAUCUUAAAUUCAGUUUCUUAUGUAUAUAUAUAGUGAAUGUGUUGAUUUUGUCCAGGAUUAUGUAUUAUCUUUCUUAAUUAUUUUGAGGUGAGGUGACAACAACUAAAGAUAUGUUUUGAAAAAGUUUGGACAAAUAACUAAUUUGUUUUCUUUCAUAAAAAACAAAAAUAAAUAACAAAUAAAUAAACAGGGUGGAUAAGGAGAAGUCUUAUUUUUCCAUGUAAACAUUUAGGUUUUAGAAUGGUUGGCUCUCAAGGCCAACCUAUUCGAACUGUACUAAUAAAGUAUUGGACUUUUGUGUAAAAGACAAAAUCAUAAAAAAGGAUAAAAAAAAAAAAAAAAAAAAAAAACGAAAUAAGAGUUUCAUAAAAUACGAAAUAAGAGUUAUCCUCUCUCUCUCUGCUUCAUUUCGCUGUUGAUAAUCGAAUGGAUUCUUGAUCAACGGUGGUUUCUUCUUCAUCCCAAAUAACAAGCAAAGUCGGAAGAUGUAGAGUACUCACGCCUCAAGGUUUUUUUCAUCUCCGCCGCAUAGAUCCGUUGUGUUAUCUUUUUUCUCUCGCUUCUGUAGCCAUGGAUUCUCUCUUUGAACUUGUAAACUUCCACAUCCUGUGACCCAACCAAUCUCUCUCGCUGGGAUGAGCUUUCCUAAGCUAGACCCCCAGUGACGAAUGGAAAGGAAAUAAUAUCACUCUCACAGAUGUUAUUCCGUCAUUGUUUAUCCGCCAUUGUUGGCGAGCUCUAUAACACUUCCAUCUCCACAUAGCUCUCUGAACCAAAGAGUGUGAAGUUUCUUGAGUGGCUCCUCAUUCCAGUAGUGAUUGUACGGACGAUGGCGAAUUUAAAAAACCGGAUCUCCCACAACAGAUCUGAGCACCUCUCCACCUCCUCUUCUCACCCAUUCUACUUGUUUUCUUGGAUCUGUACUUAGUUGGUGUAGAUCUAUACUUGUUUGAGUUUUCCAGUACUGAUUCGGAGUCAAGGUUACUACUCUGCAAUUAUAACGACUUCAUUUAGUCUAUUUCUUCUAGCUUUUGCUAAGAUCUGCCUGAUUUUGGACUCUUUGUCUCUCCUUUUGAGUGAAGAUCUUCUUAACUGGACAAGGUCUCCCGAGUAAUCGGAGAAAUAGACGCCAUUACCGAAUUUGGGUGAAGCGAAAACAAAAUUAACCCGAAAAAAGAAAAAAAAAAUCUACAUGAUUAAAUUAAUCGGUUAUUCCCUCUCAUUGAGGUGUUUUUUUGUGUCAACGUACGAUAAGUUUCUACCCGUCGUCUUCUCACGACUUUUCUGAGAUUCGUUCUACUUCUGAGGGACUUGUUUCCCUCGGAGACGUCCAAUGAAGAUUCUUGCUUGGAACUGUCAAGGGGCGGGUGCAAAACUAACCAAACGCCGACUGGAAGAAUUAUGUCGAAAAUAUUCUCCAGGUUUUUUCUUUCUUUCGGAAACAAAAAACGAUCGGUUAUUUUUAGAAGAUUUGCAACUCAAAUUAGGGUUUGAUUAUCUUCACACUGUAGACCCCUCUGGCUAUAGUGGUGGACUUGCUCUUAUGUAUUUCCGAGACUAUCCGGUUCAACUCUUAUUUGUUAGUGACCGUGUUUUAGACGUUGAAACAAUUAUUGAUGGCAAUCGUGUUUUUCUAACCUUCGUUUAUGGCGAUCCGGUUGUUAAAAACCGUGAAGAAGUUUGGGAGAGACUCACACGUAUUGGGCUCACUCGUUCUGAUCCUUGGUUCAUGGUUGGAGACUUUAACGAAAUAAUUGGCAAUCAUGAAAAAAUAGGAGGAAAGAAACGAUCUUAAUCCUCCUUCCUACCCCCUUUCGGGCAAUGAUUGAUAAUUGUGGCAUGCUUGAAUUUCCUUUCCAAGGAAAUUCUCUCUCCUGGGCAGAACGACGAAAGUGUGGUCUUAUCUGAUCACGUCUCGACCGGGCCCUAGGAAAUGAAGAAUGGCAUAAUAUUUUUUUCCCACACAAAUGUGGAGUAUCUAAAGAUGUGGGGCUCUGACCAUCGGCCUGUUUUGGCCUCAAUCAGCAAUAGUCCCCCAAAGUUCAUUAAAAGGUUUAUGUUUGACAAACGAUGGAUUGGCAAGCCGGGGUUCAAGGAAUCUGUUAAGGCUGGUUGGUCUUUCCCUAUGCGUCCCAUAGGCGGAGUUUUCCCACGCAAGAUUCGGAAUUGUAGAUCUUCGAUAUCAAAGUGGAGAAAAUCAAAUAUUACUAAUUCUUAGAAAAUUAUCCUUGAUCUCCAAAAUCAGAUUGAUGCAGCAAAUGAGAAUGCAAACCUCUCAUCGGAUGCCGUACUAGCUCUGAAAUGGAAACUCUGUGACGCCUACCGAGAGGAGGAACUUUAUUGGAAAUUGAAAAGCAAAGAAACGUGGUUGCAAGCUGGCGAUAGGAACACCAAAUUCUUCCACGCCACCACUAAGCAAAGGAAAGCGAGAAAUAUGAUUAUUGGGCUAUUUGACAAGGAUAACAACUGGAUUUCCAAAGAGAGAGACAUUGACUCUCUUGCGGUGGAUUAUUUUAAAACUCUCUUUGCAUCAUCCACCCCUAACGAUGUCCAAAAAGCGAUCCAGGAUGUCCCUGUGAGCAUCUCAGAGGAUAUGAAUCAUCGACUCCUAGCUAUUGUUUCUCUCGAAGAGGGUAAAAGAGCUCUUUUCUCGCUAAAUCCGGAUAAGACUCCAGGCCCUGAUGGGAUGACUGCCCUUUUCUACCAAAAAUUCUGGGAUAUCAUAGUGAUGAUAUGGUUAAGAUGGUCCAAGACUUCUUUACCUCUAGAAAUUUUGACAGAUCCCUUAAUGAGACGAAUAUCUGCUUGAUCCCCAAGACGGACCGGCCACGGUCUAUGACCGAAUUUCGGCCAAUUAGCUUAUGUAAUGUAAGCUAUAAGGUUAUCUCCAAAGUCCUUAGCAUCUGGCUAAAGAGAUUACUUCCAGACCUUAUAUCCGAGACCCAAUCUGCCUUUGUGGCAGGGCGGCUUAUUACGGACAAUAUCCUUAGUGCCCAGGAAAAUUUUCAUGCUCUCCGCACUAAUUCAUCGUGUCGGAAGAACUUCAUGGCCAUCAAAACCGAUAUGAGUAAAGCUUAUGAUCGUGUGGAAUGGCCCUUCUUGAGAGCUUUGAUGGGGAAAAUGGGUUUUGACCAAAAAUGGAUAAAUAUGGUCAUAUUAUGCAUAGAGUCGGUCUCAUAUAAAGUCCUCAUCAAUGGAUCCCCUCGAGGUCUUAUCCUUCCCUCAAGAGGAAUUCGUCAAGGAGAUCCAAUAUCCCCUUUUCUUUUUAUCCUGUGCACAGAGGCUCUCGUGGCCCAAUUAACGGAAGCGGAAUGGGCGGGACGUAUCCAAGGCCUCCAAUUAGCACGGGCUAGUCCAUCGACUCCACACCUCUUAUUCACAGAUGAUAGCCUUUUCUUCUGUCGUGCAACCCCAGACCAAGGACAUGAAAUUUUAAAUAUUCUCCGCUGUUAUGGCGAGGCAUCAGGGCAACAACUAAAUGCGUUAAAAUCCUCGAUAAUGUUUGGACAUGAAGUGGAUCCCAUUAUUCGCAAUGAUAUUAAGAAUACCCUAAAUAUUCAUCAGGAGGGUGGUAUGGGUACCUACCUUGGAUUACCUGAGAAAAUCCACGGUUCCAAAACCCAAGUUUUCUCCUUUGUGAGAGACCGUCUCCAGAGUCGUAUUAGUACCUGGUCGGUUAAAUUUUUAUCUAAAGGUGGCAAAGAAGUCCUUAUUAAAUAUGUCGCUCAGGCCCUUCCGACAUACGUUAUGUCGUGUUUUUUACUUCCAAAGGCAAUUCGUACUAAACUUAGUAGUGCCAUCUCAAAUUUCUGGUGGAGAUCCCGAGAAGAUAGCAGUGGCUUACACAGGUUAGCUUGGGAUAAACUAUGCACUCAAUUCUCUGAAGGAGGACUGGGUUUUCGAACUCUAGAGGAGUUUAAUCUCGCACUCUUAGCGAAGCAAUUUUGGAGACUCUUACGCUUUCCAAAUUCCUUAUUAAGUAGGGUUUUGCGAGGGCGAUAUUACCGCUAUAGCGAUCCUCUCCAGAUUGUGAAGGCGAACCGACCUUCCUAUGGCUGGCAGAGUAUUUUUGCCGCUAAACGAUUGUUAGUGUCCGGUCUUCGAAAGACGAUUGGAUCUGGUAUGGUUACCCGCGUCUGGGCGGACCCUUGGAUCCCGACGAUUCCCCCCCCCCCCCCCGCCCGGCAAAAAGUCUUCUUGGUAUAAGAGAUCCCCACCUUUAUGUCAAUGAUUUAUUGGAUCGAAAUACCCAGUUAUGGAACUUGUCCCGCCUUCAGGAGCUAGUGGCACCUGAGGACAUCCCGCUUAUUUUAGGUAUUCGUCCCAGUCGAACCUAUUUGACGGAUGGCUACAGCUGGGUGCAUACCAAGUCUGGUAAAUAUUCUGUCAAAUCAGGCUACUGGGCCGCGAAAGCUCUCUUUCGCCCUCCUUGUGACCUCCCUUCUCAGGGACCGAGUGUUGCAGCACUCCAGGCACAAGUAUGGAAAUCUAAAACCACACGGAAGAUUAAACAUUUCAUGUGGCAAUGUCUAUCUGGCAGUCUUGCUACAUGCCAACGUCUACACUACCGUCAUAUUGGAAGGGAGAAAGGAUGCCCCCGGUGCGGAGCAGAAGAGGAAACUAUAAAUCACCUCCUCUUUGAAUGUCCUCCGGCUCGACAAGUUUGGGCUCUUUCUCCCAUCCCAACCUCUGGGGACAUUUUCCCAAGAUUCACUCUAUUCAACAAUUUUGAUUUCCUCUUUUGGCGAGGUCAAGAAAGGGGAAUAGAUGUCACGCUAUUACAAGCCUUCCCAUGGAUUUUAUGGUACAUCUGGAAGGCCCGUAAUAGCUUUUUUUUUUAAAAUCUCCGGGUCCCUCCGGAUGAGACUCUACAAAUAGCACUUCAGGAGGCGCAGGUGUGGCAGAGAGCUAUGGAUAAGGAUUCUACGCCGGAACCGUCCUCUGCUAGCCCACCUCGACCUCGAGAUAUAGAUUCUACGGAAGUGGAAUGUCAAUGUGAUGCCUCCUGGACUCCAUCUGGAUCCUUAAGUGGUCUAGGAUGUGUUUUGGCAGAUUUGAAUAUAGUUCAUCACAUGGGACUUAGGAAUAUCCGUCGGAGUCUAUCACCCCUUCAUGCCGAGUUUGAUGCCCUACUUUGGGCAAUGGAAUGUAUGAUUAAAUUGGGGCACACAUCUGCUACUUUCGCCUUCGAUUUCUCUGAUCUUGUAGCUAUGGUGGAGAGUCCAUCAGAUUGGCCAACCUUUGCAGCAGAAUUGGCAUCUUUCAAGUCUCUCCAAGUUAUGUUCCCGUCUUUCCGCUUACGUCUUCUCCCCCAUCUAUCCAAUAUCCGGGCCGAUCAUCUUGCCAAAAAAGCACGAGGUCGCGAUUGCCUCUUCUCGCAUAUGAACACUUCGGCCCCCGACUGGCUCUCUUUAGCGGAGAAUCUCUUUCCGAAAGUGUCAUAGCAUAGUUUUCUUUUGCCGACAAAAAAAAAAGGAUAAAAAUAUUACGUGAUAUUGUUGCAUUAGAUUUAUAGUAUUAUAAUAUAAUAAUUAUUAAGCAUUACAUUAUUGAGUAUUUACAAACUUUGGACCCAGAAGAAGAAAUAUUUAACUGACACACGAGGCUACUGUUGAGGUAGUACUGUUUAUCAAUUUAUGUCUCAUUUGCCCAUAUACAACCGCAUUCAGUGAACAGAUUAACAUUGUAAAUGAUCAUGUGUCAGACCCUAGGCAGACGAAUUUAAAUGUAUUUUCUAUUUUUUUAAUGAUGAACCUUUGUAUCGGUAAACGUGUUAUUGUUGCUAAAACACGAAACAUCGCUCCUCUUUCAUUUUAUAAACCUUCAUCGGCCGUCGACUUCAUUCAUCAUUAUUCACAUAAGAUUUAUACACAUUCUCGCCAAAUUAGUUUUUGUUGAAAUCACUUGAAGGCUUUGAGGACAGAGCGGAAGGUUGGUGGUUGUAUAUCUUGGGUUUUUUGUUUUAGUUUUAGUGGUCUAACAUUGCUAUUUUCUAAAAAUUUCAAGAUGGAACCGAUUGACAUUCCUAAUUGACUUAUCACAUACGGCAAAGAACCUUUGGGUGAGAGGGUUAAUGUCUAUCAUAAGAUGAAACCUUGCUUCGCAUUACAAACGCGCUUACGGAGGAGAAACUUCAGAAAAUUAGGGCUUCCUCAUUGGGGAGAUUGUUGGAUUUCUUAACCAGCCCAACUAGUCGUCCACCUUCGGCCUCUUUCUUUUGGGUAGAUAGUUGGAUGUUGCUAAAUCGAACAAGAUCUAGGUUAUUUUUGCUGGGACUCCAAUUUAGUUUUUGUUGAGAGAGUUUAAACUAGUGAUCGGGUUGCCUUGUGGCAAAUUUCCCAAAAAUCAGUAGAAAAGGAGGAGGGGUACUAUGGGUAAGAAGAUUCCCUAUUACAACAUCCUUUUCGGCCCCGAGAACGAUGUUACCGUAGAACGGGUUAUCCACAUCCUAAAGAAAAGGUAGUGAUAGAUGUCGAGUUGCGACUUAGAUAUGAGUAUUUGGCCCUUGUCGACGGGUUUUUGCUACCAACAUCACACCACUCCAAGAUAUCGAAGGACCACUCCAAGCUUUGUGAAAACCUUGUUUCAUUUCUCGCUUAUCUGUGGGGCCGAUUAUCUUUUGAGAUGUCCAUCACGUCGAUCAAAGAGAGAGAUGUUGAACAGCUUGCAACCAUGUCGGUUAUAGUCCAAGGAUAACUCUACGUGCUGCAGCUGGUUGUUUUGCAAGCCGUUCUGGCGAUUCAGAAAGGCCAUGUAUUAGACGACACGGUUUAUUCUGAUUCCGAGGAAGAGGAUUCCCCAAGAAGGCAGGUGGUGCAUCUGAAACUCGGGAACGCCAAAGACAUUGACGAGAAAUGCAUGGUAAGCAUCUUAGAUUUGAUUUUUAAAAUGAAUUGCCCGUUAAAUUGGUUAACUGUUAUGUAUCCCGUUAACUUUUAUUUUGAAUCAGUUGAUAGAUGGAUAUUUAGUUAGCACGUAAUCAUAAAUAUAGUUGUUUUCUUUUUUCUUACCUUGAGAUAUAUAUUUAUAACCUACUGUUCUACAGGAUCAUGUAGAUCCAAUAAUUCUCCCGAAUGUAGAGUUGGAUCACGAUGUCGAAGAUUAGUCAUGGUCUGAUGAUGAAGAAGACCUGAAAGUCAAAAACAUGGUUCGGCUCGCCGAACAAGGUUUUAAUUUUUCUAAUGCUAUGUCCCAAGGAAGUUGUAUUCCAUCUAAGGUGGAAGUGGUACCAAAUAAACCCAGGAAGGAGCUAAAAGUUAAGGCUUCUCGUGGAAGGAAAUUGACCAAUCAGCAAAGGAUCCCAGCCGCCCCUCCAGGUACCAGUGCAUCUGCCAAUUCAUUUGCCCCCACAACUACCGGGGUCAUCGAUAUCAAGACGUUAUCUACUCUAUUGGAUGCUAAGCUUUUUGGUCACGAUCAAAGAAUAAUUGAUGGCGUCAUCAACUGGUUUAAACAAAACACCAUUAUAUCCGCCGAGCCAGUCUCUACCCACGAUGAUUUUAUGGAAGCCCCAUCGAGGAAUAAAAAGUUAACAUCCUCCAGUUGAUAAUGCGAUCCCCCGGGCUUAAAAACAUUUUACAAGUGGGUCUUCAUAAGAUCCUACCCUUGGGAACCAUUCCAAUAAUGAGACAAGUGGCAUUCCCUCCUAGACAGGUAUAGAUCUUAAUCUAGUCCCCACAGAGGCGGAAGAGAUUAAUCAUGAUGAUCCCAGUCUACCGACGAUUGAAGUUUCUACGGUUCCUCUUACUACAAUCGAAGAAGUGGUGGCCUUUUACAACCCUGGCAACCAGCUUGCCCAAGGAUCUAAUAGCGAGUCAGCAAACAAUGUUAUUGCCUAACUUUGUUAUCAUCUUCUAUAUUACUUACGAUUACUGCCUGGGUGAAGAUUUGUUUAUCUAUUUUGGUGUAGGAGGGCGGCGUAGAUGAACAUGACCAGGUGGGGGAUCGCACCAUGGUUAGUUUUUAGCCCAAAGCUGGAUUUUCAAAUUACGGUUUUCACCUUCAUACCGGGCAAAUAAUGUUAUUAUGUAACAUCUCUGUCGUAAGCUGUAUUAUUUUAUCGGUUGAUGCUGGUUUGAAGAUUCGUCUGUUUAUUUUGGUGUAGGAUUCUGACGUAGGCAAGGAGGACCAUUAUGGGGUUCGUGCUAUGGUUAGUGCUCAGUUCACUGUAGAAAUAGUUAUAUAUUUUGUUUAUGUGAAAGUACACGGUAACAUGAUUUAGCAAAUGGUAUUAUUAGCAGGUACAAUAUGAAAUUAAUUAUGGUCUUAUUACUCUAGCUAUAACGUCUUUUAUUCUCGUGGCCAGGAAGAAGACCCAAUUGACGGCUAUAUCAUUGCCGACACCCAACUUGUUGCAGCUUCAUUGGAGGUUUUGUUAUUCCACUGUUAUUUUUUUUUACUCAAAAUAUCUUCUUAUUUAGCAAUCUAAGUCUUCAGAAACGAUUUUGGGUCAAACCCCACCGGUUCAGCGUUCCUUAACAAGGUUUUCCCUGACCAGCUCUUCUUCAUCUUGAUAGAUCAUUUAUGGGUUGCGUACUAGUGCACGAGACCACUAAAUAAUUUGUUAUCUGAUAAAUAAUAUUUGAUUUUCUGCAUUGUUUACACAGCCCCAUGUCGCCCUUAAUAUGGAACACCCACUACCCAGCCCCUGUUUUGCUGCCAUGGAGGUAAUGCUAUAAACUGUGUCAACUGUGUCGUGGACAUAUAUUUGGAAAGCGACUCACAUUUAAAUUUCUAAAUGUCAUACCCCGUUAACAAAUUUUAUCGUCUUCUAAUUGAUUGUGUAUAUACUCGAUUUUUUUGUUACACAUUAAUUAUUAUGCUAACAAUCCAGAAUCUUACUACUAUAACAACUCAGAAGAGUUUGGGUGGGCAAACGGCCGAUAUUGGUCAGCAGGCGAGGAUGAGGUUAUUAUCUUUAGAACCUCUGUUUAUAUUAUUACUGAAUAACUUACUUAUAUGAUAACUUAAUCUGGAUUGAACGUCUUACCCAGUUAAUAAAAUUAUCGUCUACUAAUAUAAAGACUAUGGUAAUUCUCUCUUUAUUCGGUAGGACACUUCCGAGAAACACAUGGGUUCCAAGAUAACUUUUGGUGUAGAAGUAGAGGAGGUAACUAGUACUAGAAGCAUGUUCUAUAUUAGUUAUCCAUCGUGUGUCUAUAUACUUGAUAUUUUUGUGUAACAUUAAUUGUUAUGUUAACGCUAUAACAUCGUAGAACAGCGUGGAUGUGGAAACGACCGGUAUCGGUUCUAAAGGCGAGAAGGUUAUUAUCAAUAAAAGCUAUUUUUUAAAUAUUAUUGAAUAACUUAAUUAUAUGAUAACUCAAGUGUGGCAUAUUAUCUACUAAUUAUACUGUUAACUGAUAAGUAUUAUGUUACCCAUUUAGUCAACUUCUUUGAUAUGUGUUCCAAUGCCAACAACGUUUCUUUUGGUAUAUUAUUUUAAUUAUUUUCUUACCAAAUUACCGUUAUCUUAUCUAAUAACAUAUCUUUACGUUUAUUUGAAGUUGUGUGUUACAGCGGCCAAGGGAAGUACCGGUGGGGAGGUUUGUCGCCACCGGCCAAGGGAAUAUCAUUGUAGUCUUAGUUUAACAGCUUCGAAAUUCUUUUGAGUUUUAAAAUUCAAAAUGCAAAUGAAUGGGAAAUUUUUACCAGGAUGAGGCCGCGACACGUAGUCCGGUUGUGAUCCAUUUUCUUGCAGCUUGUGCAGCGAAUGCGCGAAGUUUGCUAUUCAAAUGAUAAGAUAAUAACGUUAUUGGCUAACUAUGAAAGUAUGAACUAACCUUGAACUCUCCCCUUGAGAUUAUUCUCAAUUUUCUAGGACGGCCUGGAGGCCUCCUGACAAACGGUGGGGCCAACUUUCCACCUCCUAUGUCAUUUGGUGAAGGAGAAAAGGUAGCCAUGUCUGGGACUGGCAUGAUCAUUUCUUUGUAACCCAACCUCAAACCGUGAAAGUUUUGUUUGUACCCUACCAAGGUGUCAAACUUUUUGCGUUCUUAUAUCGCAACCACUAUUGCGUGUGUGCAAGGAAUUGUUAACAUCUGAAACACAAGGCAAGUACAUGUUCGCUCCCAUAACUGAACAACAAAAGCCUGAUUGCCAUGUUCACGUACCUCGUAUUAUGCCCAUCCCCAAUCUUGUACACGGCAUAUCCGGUUCGUUUUUCGUAAUUCUCAAUGACCAUUCAUGGACCUUGAGUGGCAAUGUAUUUUGCUCCAGCAGUGCUGCAAUGCGACGGAGGGCAAACCAUGUUACCAAUAUUGGACAUAUGGUUUCUAGGAUUGAAAUCACCGGGUAAUCGCGUGCCAUUUCAAGAAAUCGUUAAGCGACUAUGCGAUGUUGCUUGUCAUAUCAUUGAAUCGAUCUCCCACGAAUGCGAUCUUGUCCAAUCUCGAACCCAAUGCCGGUAAGGUAAUAUGCACACGCAAGAUUCAUUGCUUUGAUUUCUGCAAAAAUACGGUUGAAAUCACCAUGUCUAUAGACUCUAGCUGCACUUGACACCAAACAGAUCAGCGGCUCCGAUUUGAAAAUGGAGAUUAUGUUUCUCUUAAGAUGGACAAGGCAGAGGGUGUGGAAAGCCAUGGGGUAUACCUGUGGAAUGUGUAUUCAAACAUGUGUCAAUUAGGUCAGCAUGAGAUAAAUAAAUUAACACAUUUAGCCAAUAAAUGAUUAUUAAGUAAGUUAACCAAUAAGUUUUCUGUUACUAUUUACACCCAAUAUAAACUUGUAGGCCUGGGCGUUCGGGUUCUGGUCGGGUAUUUCGGAUUUUCGGAGUUUCGGGUUUAUAGAUAUAGAACCCGUUCGGGUAUUUUUAGAUAUCGGGUUCGGUUUCGGAUUACUCGAAAUUCUCAAAGUUCAAAAUUUGAAUAUCCAAAUAUGUCCAAACUACUAAAAAAAUUUCAAAACCUACAUAAAACUUAAAUUUAUUUGAAAAAGAUUUUAUAACUUUAAAACAAUCAAAAUAUACAAAAAAUGGAUAAUUUUGACACUUGAUUAUUACAAAUAGAUAUAUAUUAUUAAUAAAUUAUUAUUAUAUAUUUAUAUUAUGGGUGUAUUUGGAUCGGAUUCGGAUUCGGAUUCGGAUUUUUGGGUUUAGAGAAAUAGAACCCGUUCGGGUAUUUCUAGGUUACGGGUUCGGUUCGGAUCGGGUUCGGGUCGGAUUUUCGGGUCUGAGUAUUUUGCCCAGGCAUAUAAACUGGUUAUAUUUUCAGUUCCAAUUAACAAUAUACACGACUUAGCACUAUUACAAGAAGUAGAAAAUGGCGACUAAUUAUCAGUUCAAGUUGUGAAGACCACGUAGCAAUUAACUGUUAUGAUAUAUAUUCCCCUAUUACCCAUAAACUCUAUGACCUGCUAAUGUUUUCAUGAUCAAUUAACAAUCUAAUGACUAACAACGUAGUACAAAUACAUAGAGUAUGCAAUGCUAUAAUAUGUUUUCCCUUAUUACCCAUAAACAACCUUAACGAUUAAGUACCAAUACAAGUGCAUGUUGUGGGGGAUCACACAUUCGAUGGAUGGUAAACUUUAUAAUCCUAUCACGAUUUUGUUAGCGGAUAUAUUGAAUGCAUUUGCGAUAAGACAACGUUUCGUUUACCACUCUAACUAGUUCAUUAUCAUAAUAAGGAGAUUUCAGGUUGUAGGGUAUUACCUUUCAGAUACUCUCAUAAAUCGAAGAAUGCAUGUCUGACACGAACACCAGCUCAGGUUCGUCAGGCACAACCGCUAUAAGCUUCUCCAUGAACUAAGUCGAGGCUGCGUCGUUUUCACUGUUGACGAUUCCAAAUGCUAGGGGGAAAACCUGGAUGUUGGCAUCUUGGGCGCUAGCUGCAAUCAAGCACCCACCAUUUCAUCCUCUGAGAUGGGUUUCAUCGAUAACAAACACUUUGUGCAUGAACUCAUAUCCUUUAGUCGAGGCGCUAAAUGAGAAGAACAUGUAUUUGAAUGUAUCCACGCUAGCGCUAUCCUUCUCUAUCUCAAGGAUGAAAAUGGAAUUUUGAUUUGUUUUCAAGAGUAGUUUGAAAUAAGGCUGGAUCAAGGCAAAACUCCCCGUCGCCGAACGCAUUGCAUUAUCCAUAGCUAUCUCCCGCGCUCGCCAUGCCUUCCAAUAAGAAAUGUUUAGGCUGAACUCUUGGUGGAGUAUCAUACGCACCUCAUUGGGUCGUGUCCCCCUUCCAACACUUAGGGGUCGCGUUCUCAUUAGUUUGACAAUCACCGCUGUAACACCCGUGUUCGGAAAUGGGUGGUGUCGAUCAGUUUGAUUUUAAUUGCAAAAUUGAUUGGAGUUGGGUUGGUUAACCCUAGGUCGUAUUUUAAAAGGAAGAGGAGUCAAGUUUUGUUCUUUUCAGCCGCUUUUUAACAUUCAUGAGAGAAUGAAAAGUUUCUAAAGUUUCUGAGGGUUCUGUGAAGCUUUUUGGUGGUGUCUGGUGACUGAUCUUGGUGGGUUAAGGCUAGUGGAGGCUAGAUCCAUGGUUGUUGGUGUUAGAAGAGCUAGAUCCUUCCUUGUUCUUCUUUGUUUCCGUGUUGAAUGAUCCCUGUGUGUGGUUGUUUUUGUGUUGAAUGAUCCCAGUGGAACCUUUUGAAGACUCGCUCAUAGCAUGUGGGUGAUUUGAAGUGGAGAUCCAGUGAGAAAACGCAGCUGGAGCGACUACAUAGUGUUGGUGUCGAUCGACACUAAUGGUGGGUGUCAGUGUCAAUCGACACCAAUGGUGGGUGUCGUUCGACACCAAUGUUUUGUUCCGCGAGGAUAUCUGCGACUCGCAAUUAGAGUGUCGAGCUCGGUUGUGCAGCUAGUUAUUUGUCGAUUGGGUUGGUUUAUUUUUGAUCUUUUCGCUUAAUCGUUUUGUUCUGUUAAUUGGUUUAAAUUGAUUAUGACCGGUUUAGAUGGUUUAAAUUGAUUUAGUCCGGUUUAGUUGGUUUAGCUGGUUGGGGUUAAUCUGGUUUGCAUGCUUAAAAAAAUAUAAUUUGAAUCUUUUCAGUUUCGUAUCAGAGCCCUUACGGUUCUGGGGCGGGGUUAAAUUGGUGAAUGUGAAGCGAUGUAUGAAUCUUGUUGUUGCUAAGUUAUGAUGUGAACUGCAUGCUUGAUUGAUUAUGUGUGUUUAAUCAAUUGUGUGGGCAUGGAGACCUAGAUCAUCCUUUCAAGCCUCAAUGAGAUUGCACGGUAAGUUGUAUGUUUAUUGUUAAAGUUUUAUGUGCUUAGCCUUCUAUUGUACAGUAGAUGGUUAGAGGUGGAGCUGCUGGUCGUGGGCGUGGUCGCGGUAGGGGGCAUUGUGUUGCCUCGGGUGGCGUGGACCAGAGUGCUACGGCCGAGCAUGUUAGCGAUGCUCUUGGGAGGCAGCUUGCUGGAAACCCGGUUGGGGUGUUCUAAUAGGUGGGGCCCAGGGUCAGAAUGAUCGAAUUGCGGAUCUGCCGACACAGCUUUUAGAGUGGUUAUCUGGAGCGGUACCAGCGCAUGCUUUAGUUGGACCACGAGGGGUGGCGGGAGUGUAGCCUAUUGCGCUAGAUAGGCCUGAUGUGCAGCCCGGUGUCAGGGAUGUGAAACCAGAGGGGGUAGGUCCGGUUAUCGAGCAGCCGUACUACACGCAGAUGAUGGAGCAGUUGCAGAGGUUCGGGGUUGAUGGUGUGGGGGGACUUAUUGGCAGAGGUUAAUGCCAAGUAGUUUCCGGUGGAGGCACUAGACCGGAUGGAGUCGCAGUUUCUGGCGUUGACUUAGGGAGUGCGAUCAGUGCGGGAGUUUAGCAGACUCUUUGUGUACUUGGGUCGUGCGGGAGAUCCGAAGCAGAUGCAGGUGCGUCGGUUCAUGAAGGGUCUCAGUCAUGAUAUGAGGGUGCGGUGCAAGGUGCAAACCUAUGCAUCGCGUAUGCAACUGAAGAAGGCCUAGCCGCAGUCAGGUCCGAGCAGGGGCGGCAAGCUUGCUCAGUGACAGAAUAGGAAGUGGGAUGAUGCUUCCAGGGCAUGUCAAGGUGGUUGGGGAUGCUUUGGGUGCGCGAGCAUGGAUCACAAACAGGCGAGCGGCCCGAAGAAGAGCGAACCGCGUGUGGAGACUUGUGUCAUUUUCCACUGCAAGAAAAUGGGGCACAUCAAGACGCAGCAAAGGUGAUAGCAGCUGUGCAGUCGGGGGUGCAGCACUGGGUGCAGCCGGGGGUGCAGCAGAUGGUGCAGUUGGGGGUGCAGCAUUCGGUGCAGCCGGGGGUGCAGCAGUCGGUGCAGCCGAGAGGGCAGCCGUGGGCUCAGCUGGGUGGUAAUAUCCGAGGAGAUCCUGGUGGUUAUUUCAGUGCCGUUAAAGUCCUGGGAGGUGCGUUGUUAGCGGUUCAAGGACGGGCUAGUUGUGUAGAUGUGCAUAUUGCGGGAGAGUCGAUGCCGAUAGAUCUGUACAUUAGUCUCGUUUAGUUGUAUGUGUAAUUCUGGGCAUGGAUUGGUUGGAUUAACACAGAGUUCAUCUGGAUUGUCACCAGGGGAGAGUCUACUUCGAGCAGGUGGAGAAGAUAAUUAAGAAGGGGUGGGAGAGUUAGCGGUGAGUAAGAUUCAGGUGGUCCAAGAAUUCGAGGACGUGUUUCAAUUGUCGUUGUCUAAGGAUUCGUACCGGAUGGCUCCAGCAGAGAUGGCCAAGCUGAAGAAGCAGUUGGAGGAUCUGCUUAGUAAGGGUUUCAUCCGUCUAAGUGUUUUACCGUGGGGAUCACCAGUGUUGUUUGUUAAGAAGAAGGAUGAGAUUUUUCGGCUUUGCAUCGAUUACCAGGGACUUAACUGAGUCACAGUUAAGAAUAAGUAUCCCUUACCGUAGAUUGACAAGUUGUUAGUCUAGUUGAUAAGAGCUACGUGGUUCUCUAAUAUUGAUUUGGCGUCGGGGUACCAUCAGAUUUCUAUUGACGAGGCGGAUAUCCGUAAGACGGUGUUAAUGAUAAGGUAUGGCCAUUAUGAGUUUGUGAUGAUGUCUCAGAUUGACAAAUGCACCAGCGGCGUUCAUGAGGCUGAUGAACAGCGUGUUCUAGAUGUAUUCUAAUAGUUUUGAGGAGCACAAGGGGGACUUGAGGGUAGUUCUGGAGAAGUUGCGGGAGCAAAAGCUGUAUGCUAAGCUGAGCAAGUGCAGUUUCUGGCAGAGAGAUAUGGGUUUUCUGUGUCACAUUGUGUCCGCAGAGGGAGUUUCUGUGGAUCCAGAGAAGAUCGAGGCUAUCAGAGAUUUGCCUAGACCGCAAUGCCACAGAGAUUCAGAGCUUUCUGGGAUUGGCGGAGUUUUUCGUAAAGGGUUUCGCAAGCAUAGCUCAACCGAUGACUGCGCUGACGGGGAAGGAUGUUCCUUUUGUGUGGACUCUUGAGUGUGAGCAGAGUUUUUCUAAGCUCAAAGAGAUGUUGACGAGUACGCCGGUCUUGGCUUUACCAGAGCAGGGGGAGCCGUAUGUGGUGUACACGGAUGCUUCAGGAGUUGGUUUGGGUUGUGUGUUGAUGCAGUAGGGUAAGGUGAUUGCAUAUGCUUCGCGGCAGUUGCGGAAGCAUGAGGGCAAUUACCCUACUUAUGAUUUGGAGAUGGCAGCGGUAGUCUUUACUCUGAAGAUUUGGAGACCGUACCUGUAUGGAGCGAAGGUUCAAGUGUUUACAGAUCAUAAGAGUCUGAAGUACAUAUUCACGCAGCCAGAGUUGAAUUUGAGGUAGAAGCGGUUGAUGGAGUUGGUUGUGGAUUAUGAUCAGGAAAUAGCUUACCACCCCGGUAAAGCUAAUAUGGUUGCAGAUGCUCUGAGUAGGAAGCGGGCGGCUUUAGCUCGAGGGCAGGAUAUGGAAAUCUUGGUGGGUGAAAUCAGCACCUUCCGGUACUAUUCUUGUGCAUGGGAGGGUUUCUGUGCCCAAGGAUGAGAGUUUGAGGCGGGAGAUUCUGAUUGAGGCUUAUGAAAGCAUGUUCUCUAUUCAUCCACGAGCGACAAAGAUGUAUAGAGAUCUGAAGAGGUACUAUCACUUGGUUGGGAUGAAGAAGGACGUUGCUAAGUGGUUGUCUGAGUGUGAUGUGUGUCAGCUAGUGAAGGCUGGCAUCAGGUGCCAAGCGGGCUACUGUAGAGUCUUCCUAUUCCAGAGUGGAAGUGGGACAUGAUCACGAUGGAUUUCGUGGUAGGUUUGCGAGUGUCUCGGUUCAAGGAUGCCAUAUGGGUUAUUGUGGAUCGUUUGACCAAGUCUGCACAAUUCUUGGCUAUCAAGAAGACUGAUGGAGCGGCAGUGUUUGCCAAGAAGUAUGUGCAGUAGAUUGUGAGACUUCAUGGAGUACGAGCCAAGUAUUGUGCCAGACCGGGAUUCGAAGAUUCUUUUGAUGAGAGUCCAAUGGGACUGUGAUGGAGUCUUGGAGGAGACUUGGGAGCCAGUGGCCAUGAUGAAGACAAGGUUGCAGAAGUGGUUCGACAAGCAAGUCGAAGAGUAGACUAUUGGUCUUGUUUUUUUUUUAGUUUGGUUUUGGAUGUAAGUCUUUUGUAUUUUCGUUUUGGUUGUAACGAUUAUGACAUUGGAUUUUAGUAAGAUGAGUAUUUCUUGGAUUUGACUUGUUUGUGUCAUGAGUGAAGAAAUAUGUGUGAGUUUCUAAAAAUAGAAAGUGAAGAAAUAUGUGUGGUUAGUAUAGCAUUGCGAUGCUAUAAGAGAACCACAUGAGGUAUAUAAAAGCUCAAUAUUUUUAUGUGAAUACUAUACCCCAAGUAUUUUCUUAGCAAAGUAGUAUAUAAGGAUUACCGAAAACAUUAAUUUAAAAUGAAUGAUGUUAUUUUGAAAAUUAAAAAAAAAAUAAUUAACAUCAGAAAUGAAAUAACUAGAGAGACCAAUUAAAAAAAUAUAUGUAUUAAACGUUCAAAAAAUAAUAGAUGAUGAAUUUUUAGGUUUUUUCCUUUUUUUUUUUUAUGGGUACUUCAGCUUUAAUAGUAUAGAUAAGAGAACAUCACAAAUGUAAUAAGUAAAGAAUAUCAUACUCCAAAAGAUUAAUCUCUCAGAAAACAGAAUUGUUUCAGUUAAACCUCUUCUUCCGGAAGAUGGCGACACAUGUUGAUGGAAAAUAUUGGGAGAUGGAGAACCGGAUAUCGACAAUGAUCGAUGGUUGAGAACUUGAGAAGAUAAAACGAAAUUAUGGAACUAAGAAAAUAUUAUUCUAGAAAAUUUGUGAUAAAUAUAAACAUUACGUUUAGAAAAAUUAACAUUAUCAUUUGUUUAUCCUAAUCUCUAUAUAAGAGAAGGUAAGUUGUAACACUAAAUGGAUGAGAGUCUAAUACAAUUCUAUUUUUAAAUACUUUUGUGUUAUUUACUCUCAUCAAUUUAUGUUGAUUCUUGCUGAUCAGUGGUUGAGAAAAUUUCCACUACUCUUAGCUGCUCUGUUGAAUGAAAAUGCACGCCAAGUGUUCGAUGUAAUGCCUCUGAAGAACGAAAAGAUAGAAACAAACAAGAAGAAGAUGACGAUCUUUCAAGCUAUCAACUCUUGUAAGGACAUCAAUGGAUAAUAAGCUUCGAUCCCAUGUCUAUCUGGUGUUCAAUAGCGUGUUUCUUAGAAAGUCUUUGAAAUCUUGCAUAUUUAGAUAGUAUAGGUCUGAAAUGGCAGAACUGGUGUUGAUUUACAUGCAGGGUGGUAAUACAAGGAGCAUUAUACUAAUCUUCUAUAGUUAUUUGCUGCAACAAAUUGGAGUAUACAGAUGAACCUUAAGAAUAUAAAAACCAUGGUAUUUUCAGAGUUUUGCUGUCUACAAAGAAUGAUGGAAUCGUAUCGGGUAGUUCUGCUGCACAAAUUAUUGCGAUUUUAGCUUGACGAAAAGCUGAAACUCCACGGAGGAAGUAGUGUAUCGAGGGCAUCGGGCUGGGAAGCUUAUGGAGGGAAUGGGGAGAAGAAACACGCUGAAACUGUGGAAAUCAAUUACAAGAACAAGACUAAUUUGAUAUAAGAAGUGACUAGAUAGUUAUACAAACAAGAUAUAAGAGUUCUGGCUCAAUGGAGGGUCUACGUUUAGGCAAGCAAGUAUGAAGAAAGGCUUUACAAUCAUUGUGAUGAAGCUGAGUUUACAUUGAGGUCAAGCUGAGUUUAGCGUAGGAGUAUUUGAUAAGCACAACUAUUAGUGGUAUAUUUAGUAGUGGGUGGGAUAAGAAUGAGAAGUCUUGUUAGUUGUUUUGUUAGGAUAAGAGAGUUAGGAGAUCUCUACCACAAAGUCCCAAGAUAGUUUAGGUUCUUGAUUGUAAUCUUGAUUUAAGGAUAAGAAAUACAGUUUCUUUACUUGUUUGUUCUCAGUCUGGAAUUUUCUUUUCUUAGUGCCACUAUAUAUAUAUGGUCAGUAUAACUUUGAUCACCAUUUUGUUUUUUUAUGAUUGUUGGCAUUUUAAUUGUUACAAUGAGAGCAUUAAAAGCAUUUAAUCAUACCACUAUCAACAGCAGGAGUGGAGCUUAAUUUGAGGUUGUUGUUAUUGCUCUGUUCCAUUUUCUCAUCACCUGAAUAUAUAAAUUAAGUGCCCUAUGUGAGGUAUUCUACAGGCAGAACCUUCCCAAUGUGACAAAAUCUGGUUAUCAAACUCUUGAUAUGUCUUAUCUUGAUUUACGUUCAAGGUUUCAAAGCUUUUUUAUCCAUCAGCGAAUGCUUGUAACUAACAUGGGUCUUAACCUAUCAAAUUAUUUUACACCUUUUACGAGCCUAUCAUCUUGCAGUCUGAUCUUUUCUCCAACGUAAUUCGUUUCUUACUUGGAUCUUGUUAUGAUAUGCAUUGCAUGUUCUGUUAUGCAUAGAGGAGAAAUUAUGGAAAUGUUACGAGUCAUAAGAUUGGUUUCUUUCUCUCUUUUCAAGUUCCAUAUUUGUCUAUAAGACUUCCCUCACUCACAUCUGAUAAUCAAGUUAUUAUAAAUGCAAUCUAUAUGAUCCAUCGGACGAUAACCUCGAAGGUUUCCUCUGCAAGUGGUUUUCGUGACGUAAGCUGGUGAAAAAAGCGAUUUUCGUUUACAGUUCUUCUAGCCACCGCUCAGCUUCAUCUCUCCGAUGACUGAGGCUUCUCCUCCUCUUCCCCUACCGGUUCCACCAGAUCCGACUCUUCUUCUCCCUGGUUCUAUCUCGUCGGAUCAGUUUCCUCAUCUUCUCGAUGUGGUGAUGUCAGAUCUCCCUCUUUCUUCCUCUCUACCUCAGGCAAAUCAAAAAAAUCAUACUACUCGCUCUGAUAAUGGUAUUCACGGAGCGGCCCCUCCUUCUUUAGUCAGGAAAAUUUCCUCUGUUCCCCAAUCUGUCUCUACUGGCGCCUCUUCUUCACCAAUAUCUAAACCUCGAGUCUCUGAUUCAGGUUUUAAUUGGGCAAAAAAUCUUACCUCUGUAGAUAAAUUCCCUGUUUCGUCGGCUCCUAUUUCAAUUUCAGUUGAAGGUCGUCCUCGUGUUAAGGUUUCAAAUGAUGUGUUUGAAAGAGGAGCUAAACUUCAUGAAGAUUUCAUUGUAGGAAUUUUCUAUGGAAAGACUCUAUCUUAUGGAAAGAUAUGGGGUGUUUUGAACUUUCUAUGGGGGAAAGAUAAACGUGUUACGGUCCAUAAUUUGACCAAGAAUGCUUUUCUCUUUUAUAUUCCCUCUCCUUCUCUAAGGAAACGAGUGUUGCAACAAGAAUUAUGGCAUGUAGGUGACUCCCCAUUCUUUGUCACGGCAUGGAAAUCAGAAUUCAGCUAUAAUCCACCUUCUUUAGAAAAAGCUCCGGUUUGGGAGUGCAUAUAAGAUAUACCUUUUGAUCUAAUAACUCAGGAGGGUUUAAGUAUCAUUUGUAGGCCACUAGGAAGAGCGGUAGACCAUAAGCCUUUCAGUAGCAUCAGUUGAGCUGAGGUAAAAGUCAUUGUGGAUCUUACGCAGCCUCUUCCACCUAUGCUGGAGCUUGAGCGUGAGGAUGGUCAAGUCUUGACUCUGAAAGUCACUUAUCCUUGGCUUCCACCUCUAUGUCCUCUCUGAAACGAAAUAGGGCAUAAGGCUGCUUUUUGUCCAACAGCUCCUCAAUCUGAGUUGACUUCUUCAAAGGUAGUUAAGGAGAAGAUUUCCACAUCUUAUGUUGAGAAGAAGCAGAUAUGGAAACCUGUUCCUAGUGGUACUGCUUCUGGGGAUAAAGGUGUUUCAGUUGAUAUAGAAGCCUCCACGGUUCAGGUAAAAGAAGUUUUAUCUCCUUUCUCUACAGAAAUCCACUCUCCUUCUGUUGAGGUUAAAAGUCCAACAGAGUUAGAUACUCCUUUUAAUGGACAGAGUGGUCAAGAUUCAGUACCUAACCACAUCAUCAAUUCAGUUGGUUCAGAUGUAGUUCAGUCCAGUUCUAAUCAGUCUUCUGAAGCAGUUAUUCAAGGUAUUACCUCCUGUGCUUCUCUUGUGGUUGUUCCUCCGUCUACUACUACCUCAAACCGUUUUGAUAUGCUAUCUUUAGAGGACAAUGCUAUUAUGUUAGAUGAUGAGUCUUCUUCUAUGGUUAUCUACGGUUCUUCUUCUUCUUUGUUAUCUUCCUCCAAAGGGAAAAAGAUGAAGAGAAAGAGAUUUGACCUUCCAUCACCUACUCCAGGUGGCGUUCUCUCUGAUCAAGGAGGGAAGCGUCACACCCCAUAAUAUGUUUAUAUGUCGAGUAACUUUUUUUGGAAUGUGCGAGGUCUUAACGAAUCGUCAAAGCAUCGACCUCUUAGCAACUGGCUUCAUGUUCAUAAAGUUACCUUUGGAGCCCUUUUGGAGUUGCAUGUUAAAGAAGCAAAUAAGAACCAUAUUUUCUCUACUUUUGGUUCAGGAAGGACCCUUUUAUCUAAUUACCAGUUCUCAGACUUGGGAAGGAUAUGGAUCAUUUACAAAGCACCUACUAGAGCACGAGUUCUUUAUGUGGAUCUUCAGUCAAUUACUUGUGAAAUUUUGUUGGAGGAUGGAACGGACCUCAUUUAUACAGCGGUUUACGCUUCGAAUGAAGAGGAAGAAGGAAAAAAGCUUUGGUUUUCUCUUCGAAGUACUGAAGCAAAUUUUGGUUUAUCAAACAGGCCAUGGAUGGUUAAUGGAGAUUUUAAGAUCCUUUGUCCAGCUGAAACCUCCAAUGCUAUUAUUGUUUGCUCGACAAGAGGAAUGAGGAUGUUUGGUGAUUGCCUAGCAGAUUUAGGCCUCUUUGAUCUCCCCUUUAGUGGACCUAGAUUCACUUGGACAAAUAAAAGAUCUGUAGAUCCUAUUGGGAAGAAAUUAGAUCGAUGCUUGGUGAAUGGAAGUUGGCUAACAAGUUUCCCAAAUAGUCAUUGUACCUUUGAGGCUCCGGAGUUUUCAGAUCAUACACCUUGUCAUAUUCAGCUCAACACUCCUCCUCCUUCUUAUGGUACCAGGCCAUUCAAGUUUUUCUCCCUCUUAACAAAACAUCCGCAGUUUUUGGAUUCAAUGAGGAUAGCUUGGGCUCAGGUUGGAGUUUCAGUCUCUUCUCCUAAAGACUUUUGUUUCAAGCUAAAACAGAUGAAAGGCCCGGUAAAAUCUUUGAUGAGGGAUAAUUUUAGUGAAUUAGAGAAGCGAGUAGUUGAGGCUCAUGCUAAGCUUAAUCCUCUUCAGUUAUUAGCUUUGAAUGAUCCUUCUCCCGUCAAUCUUCAGAAUAAAACUUUAGCAAAGGAAGUAUGGGUGCAUCUUAGUAUUGCGGAGGAAAGCUUUUUUAAGCAGAAGUCUCGUCUCAAGUGGUUGGGCGAGGGUGAUUAUAACACUUCUUUCUUCCAUAAGGUCUUUACGGCCAGAAAUGCUGGGAAUGCCAUAAAGUUCUUGUUGAAACCAGAUGGUUCUGCUACUUCUUCCCUUCAGGAAGUUCAUGAGCUAGUUAUAGAUCUCUUGGCUGGAAUUUUGUGCACAAUCAAAGGACGAUUUUGUUCCCAACUGCCUGAGUUUCUUGAAUCUCUAAUGCAAGCUUCUUGUUCAUUUGCGCAACAAUCUUCUUUGUUUGCUCCUUUCUCUAAUGAAGCAAUUAAGACUUGCCUUUUCAGAAUGCCUACCAGAUGGAUUUUCUGCAGUUUUUUAAGUUGACAUGGUCUAUUAUUGGGCAAGAGUUAACAUCGGGAGUGCAACAAUUCUUUCAGGAUACUUUUAUACCAUCGGCCUUAAACUCUACAUCUCUUGUACUUAUUCCAAAAAGACCUGGAGCUGUUGAAGUGAUAGACUUUCGACCUAUUUCCUGCCUUAGUACAGUUUACAAAAUCAUAUCUCGGCUUUUAUUAGGCAGGCUAAAGGUUAUACUUCCUAAUCAAACCGCUUUUGUUAAGGAUAGAUUGUUGCUGGAGAAUGUGCUAUUGGCCUCAGAAGUUAUGCAAGGCUAUCAUCUUAAUUCAGGGAAAGAGGGAAUUACUCUGAAAGUGGACAUUUCAAAAGCCUUUGAUUCAGUGAGAUGGGACUUUCUUCUUAGCUCUCUUCAUGCUUAUAAGGUUCCCUUUGGUUUUAUUAAUUGGGUUAGAGCUUGUGUUUGCACUCCGUCUUUCAGUGUUAGUAUAAAUGGGGUUUCUUCAGGUUAUUUUAAAGGAAGGACAGGUUUGCGCCAAGGAGAUCCUUUAUCUCCAGUUCUGUUUGUUCUGGUAAUGAAUGUGUUAUCUCUAAUGUUGAAUAAAGCCGCAGUUGAAGGAUCUUUCAAGUACCAUCCUGGUUGUGAGGAUCUUAAGCUUACACAUCUUUGUUUUGCUGAUGAUUUAUUAAUCUUCUUGGAAGGGUCUGAACAAUCGUGAAGAGGAGUUAUGUCAGUCCUCUCAGAUUUUGCGGAAAUGUCCGGGUUGGGUAUGAAUAUUGAGAAGACCUCCAUGUUUUGCUCUGGUUUAAAUGAGACUAGCUUGGACCGGAUACAAUUCCUAUUUAAUCUGAAGCCUGUCUCACUUCCAGUUAGAUACUUGGGACUCCCUUUAUGCUCCAAGAAGCUUUCGGUUAGAGAUUGUGAUCCCCUGCUGUCUCAAAUUAGAAAGAAACUAAACUCUUGGACUCACAAGUUUCUAAGUUUGGCGGGAAGGUUAACACUUAUCUCUACUGUUAUCUCCGGCAUAAUAGGUUUUUGGACUAGUGCUUUCUUCCUUCCUAAGCAGGUUAUUCGGAGGAUCAAUAGCCUUUGCAGCUCUUUUCUAUGGCAUGGAAAGACUGAUACUCCCUCUGGGGCCAAAGUGUCAUGGAAUGACUUAUGUUUCUCCAAAAUGGAGGGUGGACUUGGAUUAAGGAGCAUUGGUAGUUGGAAUGUGACUUGUGCCUUGAAACUUUUUUGGAUAUUGUUUUUUAGAGCUGGUUCUUUAUGGGUGGCUUGGAUAAGAAACAAGUAUCUUUCUACAUCUCCUUUGUGGGCGCUUAAUGGGAAAAAUGUUGCUUACUCUUGGAGUUUUAGAAAAUUACUUAGGCUCCGUCCCGAAGCUCUUAAAUUUUUCAGCAUCAAGAUCGGCAAUGGUGAUUCAACCUUUUUCUGGUGGGAUCCAUGGACUCCUUUUGGGUCUCUUUACCAUUUUCUUGGUUAAGAUGUCCUACUCACUUAGGGAUCCCUCUAUUUUCAACUGUGGCUGAAUUGAGAAUGGAGGAUAGAUGGUCUCUCUUUAAUGCCAGAACAGAGAGACAAGUUCUUCUCCAUCCUUUCAUCACUACCAUUAAUUUGUCCUUAUCAAAUGAUACUCCAGUUUGGGCUAUUGAUGGUAUCCCUUAAAAGUCUUUCUCUUCAAAAGAUGUGUGGAAUGCUGUUAGGAUUUCAAAACCAGGAAAAUUUUGGGCUCCUCUUGUGUGGCACAAAGCAGCCAUCCCAAGACAUGCUAUAACCGCUUGGUUGUUUAUUCUCAAUCGGAAUCCUACUCUUGAUCGUUUAUCUUCAUGGGGUUAUGAUGUUGAGGUAGAUUGUCUCCUUUGUGGUUUAGCUCAAGAAUCACGAGAUCAUCUGUUUUUUAACUGUUCUUUUUCUGCUGAGGUAUGGCAAUUGAUAACUCAAAAACUUCAGAUCCCAGCUUCUCCGUUUUUAUGGGAUCAAAUACUUCUAUGGCUGCGAUCAACUUCAGUAUCAAAGCAAAAAGAAUUAGCUCUCCUUCAAGGAUGGCAGGGUGCGAUCUAUGAACUAUGGUGAGAGAGAAAUCGACGUUUCCAUGACGGUGUCUCUCUUUCUCCAGCUACAAUUACUCGGGUCAUUCUAUCCACUAUGGAAAAUAAGUGUAGUUCAAUGAUGACGCUAGGCUCAAAGCGUGGGGCUUCUAUUCUUCAAUGCUGGAUUCCCUAAAGCUGCACUUUAUAUUCGUUUCUAUUUUCAAGUUUCCUUUGUUUGGAUCCUUGGUCCUCCUAGUACUACUAGUUACUAGUUCUAUCCUCUUUUCUGGUUGUAAUGGUUCUAUAUUACCUCUCUGUAUACUUUUACUGUUUAUAUAAGAAAACCCUUUAACAAAAAAAGCAAUCUAUAUGAUCCGUUCUGUUUUAUGAUACAAUUUGUUUAGAUAUUUGUAUGUAUGUAUCUAUUAUAUAAUGUAUGUAUGUAUCUAAACUUGUUUAAAAAUCUGAGAAAUCUAAAAAUAACGAAAAACUUAUAAAUUUGUAUAGAUAUUCAAUUCAUAUUAUAUAAAAGUACAUUCAAAAUAAAAUUAAUCAUAUUUUCUCUAUGAAAAAACAAUCUUUUAUUUUCUAGAGAUUAUUAUUCAGUGAGACAACAACAAUGGGUCGGAGUACAUUCACCGUAAUAUGUCAAACUCAUUUUUCUACAUAACGCCAUGCAGCCUUGAGUCCCUGCUUUGAUACACGGUGCUCAACUGAAGCAACUUUUCGAGUUUUGCUUGACUCCAAUAUCUAUUUAAUAUAAUAAUUUAACAAAUCGUUAUAAUCAUACAAAAUGAUAUAAAAAUAUCUUCAUAACUAAGGAAAAAGUUUGAAAAUAUAAAUAAGUUCAUACCAAGAGUGGUAUCAGAGCAAUGAACAUAAGGUGUGACAAAAAGAAUAGUGAGAAGAAAUAAGACAAGUAACUUUUUGGUGAGAGCCAUGAUAACUUUGUAAGAGUUUUUUUUUUGUUUUUGUUUAUAAGUUAUAGCCAAUGGCUGAUAUAUAUACAUAGUCCAUAGAAAUAGCCAACUCGGAAUCUUGACAUGCCUGUUCCAACCAAAAUAAUGCAAACAAAUAUGUAAACAGAUCAAGGAUACAAUAAUAUCUCCCAAAUCCCAAUAAUUUUAAACUACAGAAAAAU